RNAcentral lists this transfer RNA (58 nucleotides) under Salmo salar (Atlantic salmon). It matches the Rfam family "tRNA", at positions 8 to 63 of the family's 71-position model. Rfam says of the family: Transfer RNA (tRNA) molecules are approximately 80 nucleotides in length. Their secondary structure includes four short double-helical elements and three loops (D, anti-codon, and T loops). The record is from Rfam by way of RNAcentral. Lineage: Eukaryota; Metazoa; Chordata; Actinopteri; Salmoniformes; Salmonidae.
UGGCUCAGUUAGUAGAGCAUGGCACUUGCAAAGCCAGGGUUGUGGGUUCAAUUUCCAC